Molecule: non-coding RNA, 643 nt
Organism: Malus domestica (apple)
Lineage: Eukaryota; Viridiplantae; Streptophyta; Magnoliopsida; Rosales; Rosaceae
Source: RefSeq, a predicted model, not a curated record
UAGGUAUAGUUUCAACUGCAUCAAGUAAAGCAUGUGUUUGGAGUUGAUCAACAUAUAAUAACUUGUGAAUUAGUAUUGCGGAAUCGAUAAACUUAAAUACAUUAAUUAGGAUUAGAGUUCAUGUCAUGCAUUUGGUAAUUUUCUUAUAUAUGUGGUUUAAUAUACUUAUUCAUUAAUCAUAUGAAAGACUUUAUUUAAUUAUUGGCUAAAGUUAUGUUCCCAGCUUAUACACCAAAAAGACAGCAUGCAUAUUUAUAUUUGUAUUUCACAUGUCCCUUGUUCUGCAAGUUGUACUCAUUCAAACGUUCUGUUAUGACCAUGUUAUUAUUUUAGAUCAACCAAAAGGGCAUUUGAAAUAGGUGUUGUUAAGUUAGUAAUCUCAAGUGCUUUGACUGGGAUUAAAGUUCUUGUCUUGCAUAUAGUGAUUUUCUUAUACUUGUGAAUAGGAGCUUAUCACAGUUGUGGUUUCUUGUGUUAAUAUCUCGGAGCAAUGCUUUGGAAUCCAGGUUUACGAACUAAACAAUCUAAGAGGGUAGACGGGAUGAGAUCAGAUUAAGUGUGAGGAUGGAAUUUUGUAUUUCUUUAUUUUAGCCUUGUAAAGAAUUAUUGAAUUAUUUUAAAUAAGAAGAAUUUUAUUUUCCAA